This 510-nucleotide ribosomal RNA is filed under the name uncultured bacterium. RNAcentral describes it as "partial 16S ribosomal RNA". It matches the Rfam family "Bacterial small subunit ribosomal RNA", at positions 28 to 507 of the family's 1533-position model. The record is from RNAcentral.
GACGAACGCUGGCGGCGUGCUUAACACAUGCAAGUCGAACGAAGAGCGACGGAAGCUUGCUUCUCUCAAUCUUAGUGGCGAACGGGUGAGUAACGCGUAAUCAACCUGCCCUUCAGAGGGGGACAACAGUUGGAAACGACUGCUAAUACCGCAUACGAUCUAACCUCGGCAUCGAGGAUAGAUGAAAGGUGGCCUCUACAUGUAAGCUAUCACUGAAGGAGGGGAUUGCGUCUGAUUAGCUAGUUGGAGGGGUAACGGCCCACCAAGGCGAUGAUCAGUAGCUGGUAGGAGAGGAUGAACGGCCACAUUGGGACUGAGACACGGCCCAGACUCCUACGGGAGGCAGCAGUGGGGAAUCUUCCGAAAUGGACGAAAGUCUGACGGAGCAACGCCGCGUGAGUGAUGACGGCCUUCGGGUUGUAAAGCUCUGUUAAUCGGGACGAAAGGCCUUCUUGCGAAUAGUGAGAAGGAUUGACGGUACCGGAAUAGAAAGCCACGGCUAACUACGUG